RNAcentral lists this ribosomal RNA (253 nucleotides) under uncultured bacterium. Its description in RNAcentral is "partial 16S ribosomal RNA". It matches the Rfam family "Bacterial small subunit ribosomal RNA", at positions 524 to 776 of the family's 1533-position model. The record is from RNAcentral.
UACGGGGGGUGCAAGCGUUGUUCGGAAUUACUGGGCGUAAAGGGCUCGUAGGCGGCCAACUAAGUCGGAUGUGAAAUCCCCAGGCUCAACCUGGGAACUGCAUCCGAUACUGGAUGGCUUGAAUUCGGGAGAGGGAUGCAGAAUUCCAGGUGUAGCGGUGAAAUGCGUAGAUAUCUGGAGGAAUACCGGUGGCGAAGGCGGCAUCCUGGACCGACAUUGACGCUGAGGAGCGAAAGCCAGGGGAGCAAACAGG